This 45-nucleotide non-coding RNA is filed under the name Schistosoma mansoni. Lineage: Eukaryota; Metazoa; Platyhelminthes; Trematoda; Strigeidida; Schistosomatidae. The record is from RNAcentral.
AUCCAGCUGAUGAGUCUCAAAUAAGACGAAACGUGCAUCCUGGAU